AAAUUGAAGAGUUUGAUCAUGGCUCAGAUUGAACGCUGGCGGCAGGCCUAACACAUGCAAGUCGAACGGUAACAGGAAGCAGCUUGCUGCUUCGCUGACGAGUGGCGGACGGGUGAGUAAUGUCUGGGAAACUGCCUGAUGGAGGGGGAUAACUACUGGAAACGGUAGCUAAUACCGCAUAAUGUCGCAAGACCAAAGAGGGGGACCUUCGGGCCUCUUGCCAUCGGAUGUGCCCAGAUGGGAUUAGCUUGUUGGUGGGGUAACGGCUCACCAAGGCGA
RNAcentral lists this ribosomal RNA (279 nucleotides) under Escherichia coli. RNAcentral's name for it is "partial 16S ribosomal RNA". It matches the Rfam family "Bacterial small subunit ribosomal RNA", at positions 1 to 276 of the family's 1533-position model. RNAcentral also lists the same sequence under 1 other name. The record is from RNAcentral. Lineage: Bacteria; Pseudomonadati; Pseudomonadota; Gammaproteobacteria; Enterobacterales; Enterobacteriaceae.